GGCACUGUAGCUUAACCUGGCAAAGCAUCGGUUUCAUGAGCCGAGGAUUGGGAGUUCAAAUCUCCUCAGUGCCA
This 74-nucleotide transfer RNA is filed under the name archaeon GW2011_AR20. RNAcentral describes it as "tRNA-Met". It matches the Rfam family "tRNA". Rfam says of the family: Transfer RNA (tRNA) molecules are approximately 80 nucleotides in length. Their secondary structure includes four short double-helical elements and three loops (D, anti-codon, and T loops). Further hydrogen bonds mediate the characteristic L-shaped molecular structure. tRNAs have two regions of fundamental functional importance: the anti-codon, which is responsible for specific mRNA codon recognition, and the 3' end, to which the tRNAs corresponding amino acid is attached (by aminoacyl-tRNA synthetases). tRNAs cope with the degeneracy of the genetic code in two manners: having more than one tRNA (with a specific anti-codon) for a particular amino acid; and 'wobble' base-pairing, i.e. permitting non-standard base-pairing at the 3rd anti-codon position. The record is from RNAcentral. RNAcentral also lists the same sequence under 1 other name.